Meriones unguiculatus (Mongolian gerbil) is the source of this 1397-nucleotide long non-coding RNA. RefSeq lists it as uncharacterized. The record is from RefSeq and is a predicted model, not a curated record. The transcript is spliced from 2 exons. Lineage: Eukaryota; Metazoa; Chordata; Mammalia; Rodentia; Muridae.
CUCCACUUGAAUGUAGCUCUUCAACCUGGGCCUGAAGCAGGAGAUGUGAUAGCGGAACCUGUCCUCUGCGGAGCUCGACAUGGUUGGUUCUCAGCGAGGGCCGGAGGAGUCUCCCGGAGGCCGACGAUCCGCAGAUCCUCGAAGUCGCAGGAUCCGUUUCUGUUUCGAUUCUCUUCUCCGGACUUUACUAACGUCAACUUCCGGGCCAGAGAAUUAGUUUCGGGAGGGAGGAGGGAAGCAUGUGGAGGCAGCUGGUUAAGGGAGGGAGGACUUUGGUCAAGGACACCAUCGGAGGGCGGAAAACCCGGAGGGAAAGCGAAUUCGCCUUGGUGUUGAGAAAGCAAGCGAUGCUCUGCCAUGUAUUAUCUGCGGAUAUUUUGUCUUCCCCGACGGGUGCUGCCUACAAGACCGGACCCACUUGUCAGUUAACAUGCAAGGAAGGUCUUAAAGGAAAAUGAAGAAUUGCCCUUAACCCUGAAGUAAAAAUUGAGUUGCUCUCAUUUGUGGGGGUCGAGGGGUGGAAGUGAGGCAGGUGGAGGGAGGUUCCAGAAUACUGGAGCUCAAGGAGGCAUUUCUGCACACUCCCUACAGUAAACCUCACAGCCAGUGGGGUCCACAAAACUAAUUUGCUCCUCCCAAGAACUGAAACUUAAGUAUAAAAGAGCGAACAAUACUAAACAGCUUUGUUUUCCCGUGCUUUGAUUGGCAGUAUAAUAUUUAUUCAGAUUUGACCUGGGCCUGCCUAGUGACAGAUGCCUGCUGACUUUAGCCACCAAUUCUGCCAAGACUGACAGCCUCCUCUCUUCCGGGGUGUAAGUUCCCUGUAUUCUUUAGUAGACAACUUUCUUAUAAUGAAACAAAACAAAACAACAACAACAACAACAAAACCCUCAGCAACUUAUUUUUGAUCUAGCUGCCGUUCUUUUCUUGGACUGAAUACAACAAGUUUUGGCUGAAGCGUCUAGUAACCUAAUUAGCAACUAAUGUACUGCCUUGUAGUAAACAUCAACAUUUGUCUAUGUCAUCCUAGAGAAGGAGAAAAACAAGGCAUUCACAGUGGGGGGGGGGAGGGAAGGCAGCUUUGUUCCUGUACUUAAAACGUACAGAAACCGUAUAAAUGUGAGUCUGUGUGUCGCUGUCCACAAAGCAGGCAACUAGAUGACAAAUAUGGAGGUACAUUAAUAUUUUAAGUAGAAUUUCCUGAUCCAGAAUCAUAUGGGAACUGGAAGUUGUCAGAAAGACAAGCUCACUGAAAUCUGGUGAGUUUUAGUUAUUGAUUCUGCAAACGGCAUCUUUUUGAGAUAUUAGCAAAAUCUAUUAUCCAAUUUCCCAGCUGCCUAUGGGUUCUAUUCUACACGACACAGCAGAAAUUGACCAAUAAACCAAAAAUCAUUCUA